Beta vulgaris subsp. vulgaris (sugar beet) is the source of this 347-nucleotide long non-coding RNA. RefSeq lists it as uncharacterized. The record is from RefSeq and is a predicted model, not a curated record. Lineage: Eukaryota; Viridiplantae; Streptophyta; Magnoliopsida; Caryophyllales; Amaranthaceae. The transcript is spliced from 2 exons.
AUUGCGGGUUCGUAGAGGAACCUUUCUGACUUGAGAUUGAGUUUUGUUAGCUGUGGUUGCUGAUAAGGGACUUGAAGAUAGUUAGCUCCAGUUGGGUUAAAGAGUGCGUUGGAUCCUUUUGAUUUAAUAGGACUUUAUAAAGACUUCCGCUGUUAUUUAUUUAUAAGAUUUAUGUUCUGGUUUGUAAUAAUUAUUUUUACAGUCUAUUUAGUUGGUCUGUAAUAAUUAGUUAAAACUUAUUGGUUAUUGUUUUAGUUAGAACCAUUAGCCUUGCGGUUAUUAUUAAUAAUUAUCGCGGCGUAGCACCUUUGGAUUUCGAGUUUAUUUAUAUUAAGUUGAUUUUAGAA